This 543-nucleotide long non-coding RNA is filed under the name Salvator merianae (Argentine black and white tegu). Its description in RNAcentral is "lncRNA (ENSSMRG00000017945.1)". Lineage: Eukaryota; Metazoa; Chordata; Lepidosauria; Squamata; Teiidae. The record is from RNAcentral.
GUUUAUUUGAGGCAGGGAGUAUGCUCAAAUAUGAAGCCCAUUUGCGGGUGUGCAUGGAUGUGUGAGUGUUGUGGGCUGCAGAAAGUUAUCAGGUGGGAUUUGCAGCAUGUUCUCUGCAGGAAGCAAAAGCUGCUCCAGUUCAAAGCCACAUGUACCAACGUGACAUAUAAGUCAUUAAAAUAUCAUCCUGAUGGUUCGCAUCUGCUUCAUCAUACAUUCUCCAACUGCACCCAAACAGGAGGGAGAGAAGAAAUGAAGAAUGACUGCCUCAGUGGAGCUACCACAGAGGUGUUCUGGUUUUGUUUGAUCCAACCACUGCCCACCCCAUUUACACCCCUCUUGGAUUUGUCUGCUGCUUCCCUCUAUUUGUCAGCCUCCUCCUCCUCCGGUCAGUUCUGCCAUGCUAGGCACAAAGGAGGGGAUCUCUGCUUCAACAGGUGGAAUAGGGAACCAAGUCAGAAAAUAAGCUGCAAGUUUCCCCUUGAGGAAAAGAAAAGAGCUUUACAGAAAUCUUCCAAAACACUCCAAUGUUUCCUCCCUUGA